AUUUAGGAUCAGUAGCCUAAACAGGAAUGACAGUGGUAAAUAUACCCUGCAAACCUUUGAUUCAGAUGGAAGAACAUCAGAUGAGUGGACUUUCAAGUUGAUCUUUCAAGCUCCUGUGUCCUCUGUCCUGCUGGUCUCUGAGUGUCUGUCCCAGGGAGAGAUGAGGGUGUCCUGCUCCUCUGAGGGAGGGGACAGUCCUCAGUACAGCUGGACUCUGGAUGGACGCACACUGACAGAUGCUGAGCUUCUUUCUGUAAAUAAUAAGAGUAACAACAUUAUUCUGAAACAGCAUGUCUCAGGACAUCUGGUCUGCUCAGUGAGAAAUCAUGUCAAUAGUGUCUCCAAAGAACAAAGGAUAUGUACUUGUGGAUUCAUUUUCAUUAACUGCACUUUAUCUGAUGGGACACACAUAACAAAGUGGGUGCUUGCAACCAAAAAUACCCUGUGUAUUAAACCAACAAUGGGCCCUAUAACAGUCUCUGACACUGCUCUAGAUAACUCCUUACUUUUAUGUGGUUUGAGAGCAAUCUUGGGAAUUCUCUUAUUAAUUGGGAUUUUCAUCUACUUUGCUUGGAAGAAAAAGAAAACUGAAAAAGCUGCUGUCCCACAAACAAUGGACUAUCCAGACAACUCUGUUCUGAUGGUUGAAAUGACAACUUCUACUUCUUGCAACGCGUAGUGUCAACUUUCAUCUGCUGACAUUUCACAUCUCUGUGAGUGUGAAAAUAGCACUUAGAUGACACGUAUCUCUUGUUUUUAUUCACUAAUCAUGUUUUACAUUUACACAUCUUACACUGAAUGACCAUGAGAAUGUCUGAGUAUCUUCUGUAUUUGUAUUCUGUGGAAACUAAUAUAACAAAUGUUGUAAUUGUAAGUAGUGUAGUCUUUUAAUUUGACACAUUUUUUGUCAAGCUUAUGGUGGCCUAAAAUCAAAUUUUUACAUAAUUGCAAAUAGAAAUAAUCAACCCACCAGAAACUACUGUUUGUACUAAUCUGAAUUUGAGCACUCUCAAACUAUUUGCAAGUGGUUGAAAUUAACAGCCCUUACAGUGUACUUUUCUUUUGUUAUUGCUACACUGUAACAAUAUAUUUGUAGGACAUGGU
Molecule: long non-coding RNA, 1104 nt
Organism: Oreochromis aureus
Lineage: Eukaryota; Metazoa; Chordata; Actinopteri; Cichliformes; Cichlidae
Source: Ensembl